RNAcentral lists this transfer RNA (88 nucleotides) under Sedimentisphaerales bacterium. RNAcentral's name for it is "tRNA-Ser". It matches the Rfam family "tRNA". From Rfam's summary of the family: Transfer RNA (tRNA) molecules are approximately 80 nucleotides in length. Their secondary structure includes four short double-helical elements and three loops (D, anti-codon, and T loops). The record is from RNAcentral. Lineage: Bacteria; Pseudomonadati; Planctomycetota; Phycisphaerae; Sedimentisphaerales.
GGAGAGGUGUCGGAGUGGCUUAUCGAGCAGCCUUGGAAAGGCUGUGUAGGACUUGUUCCUACCCCGGGUUCGAAUCCCGGCCUCUCCG